RNAcentral lists this ribosomal RNA (429 nucleotides) under uncultured prokaryote. Its description in RNAcentral is "bacterial SSU rRNA". It matches the Rfam family "Bacterial small subunit ribosomal RNA", at positions 355 to 774 of the family's 1533-position model. The record is from RNAcentral.
UAGGGAAUAUUGCGCAAUGGGCGAAAGCCUGACGCAGCAACGCCGCGUGAGUGAUGAAGGCCUUCGGGUUGUAAAACUCUGUCAGAUGGGAAGAACCUUGACCGAUUUAUAAGAUCGGACAACUGACGGUACCAUCAGAGGAAGCUCCGGCUAACUCCGUGCCAGCAGCCGCGGUAAUACGGAGGGAGCUAGCGUUGUUCGGAAUUACUGGGCGUAAAGGGCGCGUAGGCGGUGAUGUAAGUCAGAUGUGAAAACCAUCGGCUUAACCGAUUGGAUUGCAUUUGAUACUGCACCACUUGAGUUCAGUAGAGGAGAGCGGAAUUCCCAGUGUAGCGGUGGAAUGCGUAGAUAUUGGGAAGAACACCAGUGGCGAAGGCGGCUCUCUGGACUGACACUGACGCUGAUGCGCGAAAGCUAGGGGAGCGAACA